UUGGAGGGCAAGUCUGGUGCCAGCAGCCGCGGUAAUUCCAGCUCCAAUAGCGUAUAUUAAAGUUGUUGCAGUUAAAAAGCUCGUAGUUGAAUUUCGGGAUCAGUACGCUCGGUCGUGCCUCCGGUAUGUACUGGCGUCACUGAUUCCUCCCUUCUGAUGAACCGUAAUGUCAUUAAUUUGGUGUUGCGGGGAAACAGGACUGUUACUUUGAAAAAAUUAGAGUG
This 224-nucleotide ribosomal RNA is filed under the name Glomeraceae sp. RNAcentral describes it as "partial small subunit ribosomal RNA". It matches the Rfam family "Eukaryotic small subunit ribosomal RNA", at positions 548 to 773 of the family's 1831-position model. The record is from RNAcentral. Lineage: Eukaryota; Fungi; Glomeromycota; Glomeromycetes; Glomerales; Glomeraceae.